RNAcentral lists this non-coding RNA (253 nucleotides) under uncultured bacterium. RNAcentral's name for it is "partial 16S ribosomal RNA". It matches the Rfam family "Bacterial small subunit ribosomal RNA", at positions 524 to 776 of the family's 1533-position model. The record is from RNAcentral. RNAcentral also lists the same sequence under 1 other name.
UACGGAGGAUCCAAGCGUUAUCCGGAAUCAUUGGGUUUAAAGGGUCCGUAGGCGGUCUUAUAAGUCAGUGGUGAAAGCCCAUCGCUCAACGAUGGAACUGCCAUUGAUACUGUAAGACUUGAAUGCUUAGGAAGUAACUAGAAUAUGUAGUGUAGCGGUGAAAUGCUUAGAUAUUACAUGGAAUACCAAUUGCGAAGGCAGGUUACUACUAAGUGAUUGACGCUGAUGGACGAAAGCGUGGGGAGCGAACAGG